Molecule: unclassified non-coding RNA, 240 nt
Filed under: soil metagenome
Description: partial contains 5.8S ribosomal RNA, internal transcribed spacer 2, and large subunit ribosomal RNA
Source: RNAcentral
AACGGUCUAUACCUGCGGUACCUGCGGAGGGAUCAUUAUUGAACUAUGUUUCUAGAUGGGUUGUAGCUGGCUCUUUGGAGCAUGUGCACGCCUGUUUGGACUUCAUUUUCAUCCACCUGUGCACCUAUUGUAGUCUUUGUGUCGGGUUAUUGAGGAAGUGGCCAGCCUAUCAGCAUUUGCUGGAUGUGAGGUCUUGCAGUGUGAAAGCAGUGCUGUCCUUUACUUGGCCACGGAGUCUUU